GUUGCUUCCGUUGCGUCCGUAGUCUAUUUAGGCUUCGCCGGUGUAACACUCAGUGGUUCAGCCGUGGCAUUAGCCGUAUCCACCCCUCUUUUCAUCAUAUUCAGUCCGAUUCUCUUACCUGCUAUUGCAGCCACUACUGUCCUAGCCGCCGGGCUCGGAGGUAAAAAAGUGGCGGCGGCUCCGGAAGCUUCUCCGGCAGCUUCGCCAUCCCUAUCUCUGUUGGGCAUACCGGAGAGCAUUAAACCAAGUAAUAUUAUACCGGAGAGUAUUAAACCAAGUAAUAUUAUACCGGAGGGUAUUAAACCAAGUAAUAUUAAGGACAAAAUUAAGGAUACGAUAGGCAAAGUUAAGAAUAAGAUCAAAGCUAAAAAGGAAGAAAAAUCCAAAGGUAAAAGUGAAGAUUCUUCCAAGGGUAAAGGUAAAUCAAAGGGUGAAGAUACGACUACGGAUGACGAUACGACUACGGAUGAAGACAAACACGGAAGUGGAGCUAAACACGGAAAGGGAGAGAGUAAACACGGAAAAGGUGAGAGUACACACGGAAAGGGAGGUAAACAUGGAAGUGAAGGUAAGCAUGGAAGUGGAGGUUCGUCUAUGGGUGGAGGUAAACACGGAAGCGGAGGUAAACAUGAAACUGGAGGUAAACACGGAAGCGGAGGUAAACAUGAAAGUGGAGGUUCGCCUAUGGGUGGAGGUAAACAUGGAAGUGAAGGUAAGCAUGGAAGUGGAGGUGCGUCUAUGGGUGGAGGUAAACACGGAAGCGGAGGUAAACAUGAAAGUGGAGGUUCGGCUAUGGGUGGAGGUAAGCACGGAAGUGGAGGCAAACACGGAAGUGAAGGUAAACACGGGGGUGAAGGCUCUUCUAUGGGUAAAAAUAGUCUAUCCAAGAAGAAAAAGGAAUUCCAUUAUAGAGGUCAAGCUAUGGAUGCAAGUAGUACAAGUGAAAGUUCAGAUGGAAGUUCAGAUGGCAGCAGUUCAGAUGGAAGUUCACAUGGGAGUGGUGGUAAACACAUAUGAGUAAAAGUAAAUUCAUGGAAGAAUAAAAGACAUUGGUGGACCUAUUCCAAUGUUUAGCAUAUGAUGUCUAUUAUAGUUAUGAAUUGUAUGGCAUUAUAAGAAAAAAAAAACACUUUUAAAAACUUUUAUGUUUAUACAUGUAAUGGUUAAAACUGAUUAUAUGAUAAGACAAAAAGACUAUUAUGAUACAUUGUAUAGUUAAGAUAUAAAAAUAGUAUAAUGUGGUAACAGUUAUUUCAAUUCCUAGGACCCGGUUUAAUUUUUUUUAUUCACACUGAACUUUACGUCUUGUGCUAUAGUUUGAAUCAGGCCCGACCCAUCAUAUAUGGUGCUUAGAUCAAAAACAUUUAUGUACCCUUAACAUGGUUAGAACCGGGCACGUAUUGGACAAUUGAAACAUAAUUAACAACGACACCAUAAUUAAUAUUGAAAAUUAAUGUCCUCUAAAACAAAACUAGAGCUACUAUAUAUUUAGAAUUUCAACAUAUAAAACCAUGAUGGGAAUGACUGAUGAUGGUUCUCUAACCCUCGACUGGUUUGGUGAAACUUUAGCAACAUGAACCCGAGCCGUGCUUGUUAAAGAAAAUUUAAAGCAUUGGCUUAGGGUAUCAUUUUAUGCAAAAUUUAUAUAUAGAGCAUAUUUUAGAACUUUUAUUUUUAACAUCAUAUUCAUCUUAGGUUAAAUUUGUCUAUCUAACAAAAUAUUAAAUACCACACAUGCUAAUCAUGAGUAGCCGAUAUACGGACCCAAUACAAAAUACACACAUAUAUAGCUAAGAUAUAUAUGAGUUUUACAAUGAAACAUGCAUUUAUAUAUAAUACUCCCUCUAUUUUAAUUUAUUUGAUGUUUAAUUAUUAUUUUUUUGUAAAAUAAGUGAUGUUCUUAUUAAUCUAGAUAAAAAUUUAAUGUUGUUUGAGAUUUGUGACCAAUUACAUAAUUGAUAAUACUACAUUUUUUAUUGGGUAAUUUAGUUCUAUCUUUUGUGUAAUUAAGAUAAAUUGUAUGGAACUUUACAAGUUCUUAAUCUUUGUGCAUUAAUCUUAAACACCUAUUAAAUUAAAUAAAGGGAACACAUAAUUUGCUAUGAAAAUAAUAUGUUUGUUUGAAAAUGAAUAACCGAUCAAUUGUUUUUCAUUCUAUUUAUUAUGUAUUGGAAUAUGCCUAUACUCAAAUUUGUUAUCGAUUCUUUCUUUUUUUUUAUAUAUAUAUAUAAAAACCAGAUUUCAGUUAUUUUUGAAGUUCUUUCCAAAAUACAUAUUUUAGUAAGAUAUAUGUUUGAAGUUUGUUGAUAAAAAAAAAGAGAGUAAGAUAUAUGUUUAUUGAGUAUUCAGUGAUUUCCACAAAGUCUAUGGUCUAUUCUUUUCAAAAAAAGAGUUUGGGAUCUAAUCUAAAAAUAAACUCUAUUGGGUAUUCCACCUUAUAAUAAUAAUAAUAAUAAUAAUAAUAAUAAUAAGGGCAAUUGUCAAUAAUAGCACCUUUUGAAGUUUAUGUCUCGAAAAUAGCACUAGAAGGAGAAAGUCACAAAAAUAACAUUCAUUAAAGGGUAAAAUAUCCCUAAUACUCUUGGUUUAAAAUUAAAUAAACAAACAAAAAUAAAUAAAAAUAAAUAAAAUAAAAAUUAAAAAAAUGAAAAAAAGAUUUUUUUUUUUUUUAUAGUUUCAGAUUAUAUGUUUUCAGAUUCGAAAUUUUUAUAAUUUUUUUUUUCGAAUUUUUUUUUUUUAUUUUUUUUUCAAAUUUUCUUUUUCAAAUUUUCUUUUUAUAAUUUAAAAAUACUUUUUAAAACUGUUUUUAAAAUUUUAUUUUUUAUUUUAUAUUUUUUUUUUAUAAAAUGGGUGGAGGUAAACACGGAAGCGGAGGUAAACAUGAAAGUGGAGGUGCGUCUAUGGGUGGAGGUAAACACGGAAGCGGAGGUAGACAUGAAGGUGGAGGUUCGGCUAUGGGUGGAGGUAAGCACGGAAGUGGAGGCAAACACGGAAGUGAAGGUAAACACGGGGGUGAGGGCUCUUCUAUGGGUAAAAAUAGUCUAUCCAAGAAUAAAAAAGAAUUCCAUUAUAGAGGUCAAGCUAUGGAUGCAAGUAGUACAAGUGAAAGUUCAGAUGGCAGCAGUUCAGAUGGCAGCAGUUCAGAUGGCAGCAGUUCAGAUGGAAGUUCACAUGGGAGUGGUGGUAAACACAUAUGAGUAAAAGUAAAUUCAUGGAAGAAUAAAAGACAUUGGUGGACCUAUUCCAAUGUUUAGCAUAUGAUGUCUAUUAUAGUUAUGAAUUGUAUGGCAUUAUAAGAAAAAAAAAACUUUAAAAAACUUUUAUGUUUAUAAUAUGCAUGUAAUGGUUAAAACUGAUUAUAUGAUAAGACAAAAAGACUAUUAUGAUACAAUGUAUAGUGAAGAUAUAAAAAUAGUAUAAUGUGGUAACAGUUAUUUCAAUUCUUCUUGAAAGGACCCGGUUUAAUUUUUUUUUCACACUGAACUUUCAUUGAUAAAACAUCAAGGUCUAAUACAAAGGUGGGAUACAAUCAAAGGAUACAAAGCCGGCAGAUAUCCAAUCUAGGGAGAUAAAGCCCCAACAAGAGGAGUCAUAUGGAUGAUAAUCGUUUACGUCUUGUGCUAUAGUUUGAAUCAGGCCCCACCCAUCAUAUAUGGUGCUUAGAUCAAAAAUAUUUAUGUACCCUUAACAUAGUUAGAACCGGGCACGUAUUGAACAAUUGAAACAUAAUUAACAACGACACCAUAAUUAAUAUUGAAAAUUAAUGUCCUCUAAAUUAAUACGUUUUGGCGUCUAAAACAUCAAAAUUCAUGGGUUUUAGCCAAGAACUAGCCCUGGUUGGAAGGUACAAAUAACGAAUUCGGAGAUUGUAAGAACAUUAUCGUCUAAUCAAAUUAUUCUAGUUUGAAUUUGAUAAGAUAACACUCUUAAAACAAAACUAGAGCUACUAUAUAUUUAGGAUUUCAACAUAUAAAACCAUGAUGGGAAUGACUGAUGAUGGUUCUCUAACCCUCGACUGGUUUGGUGAAACUUUAGCAACAUGAACCCGAGCCGUGCUUGUUUAAGAAAAUUUAAAGCAUUGGCUUUAGGGGAUCAUUUUACGCAAAUUUAUAUAUAGAGCAUAUUUUAGAACUUUUAUUUUUAACAUCACAUUCAUCUUAGGUUAAAUUUGUCUCGUGUAUCUAACACAAUAUUAAAUAUCACACAUACUAAUCAUGAGUGGCCGAUAUACGGACCCAAUACAAAAUACACACAUAUAUAGCUAAGAUAUAUAUGAGUUUUACAAUGAAACAUGCAUUUAUAUAUAAUACUCCCUCUAUUUUAAUUUAUUUGAUGUUUAAUGAUUUUUUUUUGUAAAAUAAGUGAUGUUCUUAUUAAUCUAGAUAAAAAUUUAAUGUUGUUUGAGAUUUGUGACCAAUUACAUAAUUGAUAAUACUACAUUUUUUAUUGGGUAAUUUAGUUCUAUCUUUUGUGUAAUUAAGAUAAAUUGUAUGGAACUUUACAAGUUCUUAAUCUAUGUGCAUUAAUCUUAAACACCUAUUAAAAUUAAACAAAGGGAACACAUAAUUUGCUAUGAAAAUAAUAUGUUUGUUUGGAAAUGAAUAACCGAUCAAUUUUUUGUUUGCAUUCUAUUUAUUAUGUAUUGGAAUAUGUCUAUACUCAAUUUUUUGAGGUUCUUUCCAAAAUACAUAUUUUAGUAAGAUAUAUGUUUGAAGUUUGUUGAUCAAAAAUAAGAGAGUAAGAUAUAUGUUUAUUGAGUAUUCAAUGAUUUCCACAAAGUUUAUGGUCUAUUUUAUUCAAAAAAAAAGUUUGGGAUCUAAUCUAAAAUAAAUUCUAUUGGGUAUACCACCUUAUAAUAAUAAUAAUAACAAUAAUAAUAAUAAAUUUAUAUUUUGGUCAAAAAUAAUUUAAUUAUAUAAUUAGAUAUUAGUUUAGAGAUGAGGUGAGUCGUUACCAUAACUUUUCAUAAGUUUCUAAAGAUUGUUUAAAAAGUUGAUUUUUAUUCUUUCUCAUUUUCUUUAAUAGUUAGAGAUUCUUUAAGAACAUUUUUAAUUGUAAAUCUCAAAAUGUCAGUUUGUCGUGUUUGAGCUCGUACCAGAAACAAAUGAAGGCUCAAAAAACAUGACGACUACUACACACAUUGAAUGGAAUAUGACGUGACGUUAUGUAACGUAGAUCUCUAUUUGCACCCACUGUUUUGCAUGUACAGCUUCAUAUAUAAAAUCUAUCUCUUCCCACCUCUACCAAUGAACAACCAUCCAAUCUGAGAAUAUGAGCGAAGAACUCGUUCAACACGAAUCUCAUUCUCAGGCAUCGAUAUUUAGCCGUUUUUUCAGAAUGUUCUCUUUUAUCUUCCCAUUGCUGAACGUUAUAAAGCUUAUUAUAGCUUCCGUGACCUCCUUAGUCUGCUUAGCGUUUU
This 5419-nucleotide long non-coding RNA is filed under the name Brassica napus (rape). RNAcentral describes it as "long non-coding RNA (BNAP_LNC008997)". Lineage: Eukaryota; Viridiplantae; Streptophyta; Magnoliopsida; Brassicales; Brassicaceae. The record is from RNAcentral.